Long non-coding RNA from Rosa rugosa (rugosa rose), 5485 nucleotides. RefSeq lists it as uncharacterized. The transcript is spliced from 2 exons. NCBI's taxonomy places the organism in Eukaryota, Viridiplantae, Streptophyta, Magnoliopsida, Rosales, Rosaceae. The record is from RefSeq and is a predicted model, not a curated record.
UUCUGCUUCUGAGAUUGCAUGUGUGUAUUUGUAAUUUUUUCCUGUGCUGAUGACAAAGACGACACAAUCAGAAUUUUUUCCAUCCAGAGCUGGAUCAUCAGUUGUAUUGGACAGUGACUUCUCUACUCUUUCAUCCACCUCCAAAUGUAACCGAGGUAGUUCGAUAAUCUUGUUACCAAAAGGACUACAGAAAAGGAACUCUAGUAUAGUAGAAGUAAUUGAAUAACCAACGCAUUUCGAGAGAAGCAACCAACCAUGUUUUGAAGCACAAAUUGUUUAGUCAUAUUCAUGGAUGGCCGCUCUUGAUUAAUGUUCGCAAUUUGGGCAGAUUUUGAGUUCACGGGUGAAAUUCUUUUUUGAUGACCAGAAAUCGCAAAACCCAAAUCUCCCAUAUCUAUCAAAAUCGAUUAGCCAUGGCGUAAUUGGACCGCAAAGCAAAGCGGGUAAGAUCAACAAUACUAUGAUUUGCGAAUUGUAGUUAGAAAUUACUUUUUGUCUUUUCUCUUUUUUCAUUUUUCCUAUAGCAGAAUAAUCACUGAUGAGAAAUUCUUCCAGCGGCAAACCAAAUGACUUCUGAAACGUAGAAUUUCUAUGAGGUGAUCGGAGAUCCAGCAGUCAAGAAUCAAGCAAGGAGUUUGAUCAAUGUCUACAAUAUUAGAUCCUAGGUUUAAUUUCAGGUUCACGAGAAGAAUUUCAAACACGCAGCACCACAAAAAGCAAUACAACAUUAAUAUCUCCUAUCAAUAUAUGGAAACUUCAAAAAAUUAAAGGAAGAAGAAAAUGUGGUUCAAAGUCCUUACCCUCUUUGCAACCUCCUUUUCCAUUUUGGUCAUAUACAAUCCUCGGUGCUUAUAUUUGAGUGGAAGCAGGGAGGUCAUUAGCGGUAGCAUCAUGGCCUUUUUCAUGCAAAUAAAGAGUUAAUUGAAAAGAAUGUUUUCUGCGCGCACAUAAUAGGGCCACAAUUGUAGAGAAUCAAUAUAUAGAUCUGCACCGAUCCUAAAUGUGUUAAAUUGACAACUAUGCAGUUCAUCAAUGACCAACUUUAUUUCAGAAACUCAAGUUAAGGCUCAAGAGGAAAACAAGGCCAGUCAACUUAGCAAACCAAGAUCAUUUCUUACUUAUCUAUGACUUCCUGAAAACGUAAUUACCUGAAAACUACUGCUGCACAUAUAAGUGGGGAUAUAAAAAUUUAGGCACCUUAUGGUUAAUUAGAAUUGCAUGAUUUAGCCAAGUUAUGUAUUAUAGGUAAGCAAAAUUCAAAAUCUACAUAACUUUUCUGCUUCAACUCUAACAUAUAUCCUAUUUUACAGUCUUCAAAAUUUUUUUCCUAGAAUUUAAGAGAUUGUUGUAAAUUUAGGGAAUUUUGUAUUCUCUUUCAUCAUUAUCCCUAAAUUACAAUAAGCACUGAGAGAACCACCUGAGAUAAUAACAAGCGUCUCAACUAAGCAUAUGCAUUCUAACAUGCAUCAUUUAGUGAAGAGUGCUCUAUAAGCUACUCCAUUUGCUUUACUAUUGUGAUGACAUACCGGAAAAAUAAUGCUCACUUGAAGCCAUAGAUAAGAUCAGCUUUCCCACUAUGGUGCCACUGGAAAUAUAACCCGAUGACACUAAGUUUCAUCCUGCCACUAAGAGGUUGUGGUCAUUUGACAAAAGGAACUCGCCGCCUAACUAGAGCAGAUAUGGCACACAAGGUGCGCAGGUCGGUACAAAGCCCACAUCUCCAAACCAUAAAGUGGUAAGGACUUAUUGAAAACAGAAAAUAAGAUACAACUAAAAUGACAAAAAAAAAAACUGAAAAUAACCUAGCAGCCUAGGAGUGGGGCAUAACCUCUGUAUUCUAACAAGCACUAUUAGUAAAGAGUGUAACAUUGACUACUCCAUUUGCGAUUAUAAUUGUGGUGACAUACUGGAAAAAUAUUGCUCACGUGAAACCAUAAACCAAGAAUACCAACUUUCCCACUAUGUUGCCACCGGAGGAUAUUACCCGACACUUAGUUUCAUCAUACCACUAGGAGGCUGCGACCACUUAAUGAAGUAAGGAACUUGCCGACUCAUUAGGGCAGACAAGGCACACUGAGUGCACAAACCAAGAUAACGCCCACCUAUCUCUACCAAGAAUCGGUAGGAAUUUAUUAAAGCCCUAAGGCAAUGAACAACUAAAUAACAUAAAUAAAAGAAAAAAUCAAACUUAAAACUCAAGGUUGUCCAACCAUACAUACGCAGUAAGGAACCCAAUGACGUGGCCCAACCCCACCCACCAACCCACCAACCCAGCAGAUACCACAAGCCCAACAACCACUCAACUCCACCAGUUCUGCGUCUGCGCCACUCUCACACCACCGCCACCACGCCGACAACUGAUGCAACCAAUGUCCCAACCCUUGAAACCCACCCAAUAGACUAAGAUAGAUCUUGGAAUAGGCCGCACCAAUACCUGAUCAAUGACCUCAAUCACAUUCACCGCUACACACGCAGUAAGGAACAUUAGUCGUCAUUGUUGCCCAUCCCACACAACUACCACAAACUGAUGCCAAACCACCAAGCAACUCCGCCUAUAAAUCCGAUCACCGUUCCGUAAUCCAGAUCAGAAGCGAUCUGAUCUCCACCCCAACGCUCCGCCAACCCGUUUCUAGACACCAUCAUGCCAAACGAUCCCGAUGUUCAACCAUCGAAUAACCAAUGAACACCAGUCCCUUGUGACCACACACGUUGCACGCCAACGAGCACAAAGGCCCACACUGGCAUAGAGGCGCAGCUGGAUGAGUAAGAAAACAAAGGAGAAGAAAUGUUGCGGGCAAGCUCAUUGGGAAGGUGUAUACGUACAUUUUGGAGCGAUGGGUGUCUACCUUCUUGCUGUUACCUUUUUUGGAACCUUCUGGCCUUAUGGACUAAGAUUGUGGGAGCACCUUUUGCAAGAACUUCUGGACUGGUACAGAACCUCGGAUAAUCAGUUUCUAGUGAUAUUGAGGCACAAUAUUCAUGGAGUGUAUGUAGUUGGACUUGCAGCUCUAAUAUUCAUGAUCAUAGUACAUUCCGUAUGGCCUCUUUUUGCCUUUUUUGAGAAGAAGCAAACCUAUACGCUAGGUCUGGAUGACCUUGACAGGUUUGUCAAGACCAUUGCAGAGCUACUCGGUCGAUGCUAGGAUGACAUACAUUUUAGGUAUACACAGAUGCAGUAAUCCCGAAUUCCCUUAUCCCCUCUCUGAUCACUUGUUUGCUCUUACAAUUUUUCGUUCAGAAAUAUUGUUGUAAUCACACACCUUUCCGUUCAGAAAUAUUGUUGUAAUCACACUCCUUUCCAUUCAAAAACAUUGUUGUAAUCUCACACCAUGCAGACAUGAAUGUAUUUUUACAUAUAUGAACAUCUACUUUUCCUAUGGGGAUUUCACUCUCUUUUGUUCUUCUUUUUCUCUAUUCUUCACUCACACGACCCAAAAUUGCAUAGAAGAAAUUUGAUAUAUUCGUAACAAGUUCACUGUCAAUGCCACAAUACCUAGGGAAAAUCUCACUCGGACAAUCUUCAGCCAAGGCCAAUGACAACAUCGUUUCCAUAUUGAAAAACUCACUCUACUUCUUCAGUUGGUUUUGGACAAUUUCCAGUCUAAUAUUUGAGAUUCUAAUUUGUUUGAUUUAUAUAAAGCUACAUAGUUUCGUAAGAUUAUGGGACAUAAUAUAAUGUGCUUGCCUUGUUGCAACCUAGCUUGUAUGAAGUGUUGAACCAUAUUAUAAAUUGAAUCAGAUAUCGUUUACUCAUCCAAAUUGUAAUAAACAAAUGCAUGGUUGUGACAAUUACUACUAUUGUAAUGAAUUAGUGUAUGUGUUUUUUUUUUUUUUACGAGAAUAGUGUAUGUGUUUAAUAUACAUAAUUCCAAUUUAAGUGACUUUUUACAGAGUUGAUCCUUGCACUUAAAAUCUGUUUCCUCAAAGAAAAUUGUGCACCCAGUGAACCUAAGAAUUAUCCCUCUAUUAUAAAUUCAAUAAUAUGGUGUACCCAGUCAAAAUGGGGAUUCAAGCCCAAUUAGCCAAUCAAGCCCUGACAGCUAUUCUCUCCGAACAAACAUCUUUGGCAAGAGCACCAAUCAACCCAAAAGACAGCACAUCAACCAAGUCUCCGCCCAACACGACUAAAACCCGGUCUAAUAGCUUAAAGACUGCUAUAUAUGUGUUAAUGUUCCAAGUUUCCAACCCGAUAUCCAGCUUCAUGUCGAUCACAAAAUUGUAAUCUAGUCUUCCUCCGACCCAACAUAGUCCUCUCUAGGACUACCUUUUUAUUUAGGGACUAAAAUAAAGUGAGCCAAUUGCAUAAACUUAGAAUUAUAUUUCUAUUGAUCAUGAGAAAAACACUUGAAAUUAUAUUAUUGUGAAAGACCAAGUCACCAACAAGAAGUAAAAUAUUCUAUUUCAACUUCCAAAACUAUUAUAUAUCAGGUAUUCAUAGAAAUACUCAAAUACUUCAAUUUUUCUGGGGGGGGUCAUGCAUGAAGAAAGCUAGGCUCUUGAGGCACACCUAAGGUUGCUUAAUACCUUGGCAAAAUGUCGACUAAAGUCUGUGAACUUGUCUUAGAAGCAUCCUCUGGACCAGUACUUUGUCUUUUUCAAAAGUCAUUCCUUCUUAUUAGGAUGAUAGGAUCAACUAGCCACCAACUGGGGCAACCAUAUAUAUUCGUUCCCACAUACCCUCUUGGUCAUAUAUCUUACAACUAGCCUUAUAGUUAUAGCGACCCGAGAGAACAAAUAAGGUCAAGCACUCAGAUUAUUGAAUUGCUCUGGUCGUCCAAUAAAAUCAUGACACGUGACAAAUUCUAUUUCUUAUUUGAUGAUUUUGCAAUAUGCAAUUAGGCAGCUUAACCAAAACUGUUUUCCGACUUGGUCCACUUAGAAAGUUCGUGUCACUUAUUUUUCAUAAUUAUUUGAUGACUUUAUUUUAAAGCCAUAUUAUUCCAAUCCCAUUAAGUAUUCUCAAAUUUUCAGACCAAGCUGGCAUUUCAAGUUCAAAGCACAAGCGCUCCAGAAUAUUCCCCCAGCAAACAGGCCACCUGCAAAACACAAAAAUCAUUAACACAAAUAAUUAAAGACUAAUAAAUAAUAAUACGAUAAACAAAACAGCUAAUUAAAACGGGCGUAACCGAAACGGUAACGCGUCAAACGAGAAACGACUUGUAGUUGCAAAAUUUUGUCCGCUAGUGAGCAGUGACACACCAAUUACGACGGCACGUGGCAAGCAUGGAGAGAACGUUCUGGACAGCAAUGACUUAACGGCCGUAACCGGAGACCAAACUGACAAAAGUUAUGUACCACAAUUCCCGGCGCAACUUAAUAAAGCGCCGCCCGUAUAUUUUUGUCAUUAUACCACACCUCGAAAAUAUGAACCAAAAAAUGGAAGAAAAAUAGAAGUAAAAUCCUCUCUCGAAUUCACAACAAACACGAAAUUCCCAUAUUUUUGUUUUCCUUAAAUUCCGGAUUAAUUUUCUUUUUUUUUUCGUCA